GAUGAACGCUGGCGGCGUGCCUAAUACAUGCAAGUCGAGCGAACAGACGAGGAGCUUGCUCCUCUGACGUUAGCGGCGGACGGGUGAGUAACACGUGGAUAACCUACCUAUAAGACUGGGAUAACUUCGGGAAACCGGAGCUAAUACCGGAUAAUAUAUUGAACCGCAUGGUUCAAUAGUGAAAGACGGUUUUGCUGUCACUUAUAGAUGGAUCCGCGCCGCAUUAGCUAGUUGGUAAGGUAACAGCUUACCAAGGCAACGAUGCGUAGCCGACCUGAGAGGGUGAUCGGCCACACAGGAACUGAGACACGGUCCAGACUCCUACGGGAGGCAGCAGUAGGGAAUCUUCCGCAAUGGGCGAAAGCCUGACGGAGCAACGCCGCGUGAGUGAUGAAGGUCUUCGGAUCGUAAAACUCUGUUAUUAGGGAAGAACAAAUGUGUAAGUAACUAUGCACGUCUUGACGGUACCUAAUCAGAAAGCCACGGCUAACUACGUG
RNAcentral lists this ribosomal RNA (497 nucleotides) under uncultured bacterium. RNAcentral describes it as "partial 16S ribosomal RNA". It matches the Rfam family "Bacterial small subunit ribosomal RNA", at positions 28 to 507 of the family's 1533-position model. The record is from RNAcentral.